AUACUAUGAAAAAGACAGGUUUCGGUAGUGUUGGUGUCCGUAUACAUACUAUGAAAAAGACAGGUUUAGGUAGUGUUGGUGUCCGUAGACAUACUAUGAAAAAGACAGGUUUAGGUAGUGUUGGUGUCCGUAGACAUACUAUGAAAAAGAC
Oncorhynchus keta (chum salmon) is the source of this 151-nucleotide long non-coding RNA. RefSeq lists it as uncharacterized. Lineage: Eukaryota; Metazoa; Chordata; Actinopteri; Salmoniformes; Salmonidae. The transcript has 3 exons. The record is from RefSeq and is a predicted model, not a curated record.